RNAcentral lists this ribosomal RNA (253 nucleotides) under uncultured bacterium. Its description in RNAcentral is "partial 16S ribosomal RNA". It matches the Rfam family "Bacterial small subunit ribosomal RNA", at positions 524 to 776 of the family's 1533-position model. The record is from RNAcentral.
UACAUGUGGGGCAAGCGUUGUUCGGAAUUACUGGGCGUAAAGAGUGUGUAGGCGGUGCUCCAAGUCUGGUGUGAAAUCUCCCGGCUUAACUGGGAGGGUGCAUUAGAAACUGGAAUGCUAGAGGAUGGGAGAGGUAAGCGGAAUUCCUGGUGUAGCGGUGAAAUGCGUAGAUAUCAGGAGGAACACCUGUGGUGUAGACAGCUUACUGGACCAUUUCUGACGCUGAGACACGAAAGCGUGGGUAGCAAACAGG